This 54-nucleotide non-coding RNA is filed under the name unclassified sequences. The record is from Rfam.
GGCUUCAACAACCCCGUAGGUCGGGCCUGCAAGGGCAGUGGAUCUACUGGAGCC